UACGGAGGGUGCAAGCAUUGAUCGGAAUUACUGGGCGUAAAGGGCGCGUAGGCGGCUCUGAAAGUCAGGUGUGAAAUUCCGGGGCUCAACCCCGGAGCUGCAUUUGAAACUCCAGAGCUAGAGUAUAGUUAGGGUAAACGGAAUUCCACGUGUAGCGGUGAAAUGCGUAGAUAUGUGGAAGAACACCGGUGGUGAAGACGGUUUACUGGGCUGUAACUGACGCUGAGGCGCGAAAGCUAGGGGAGCAAACAGG
This 253-nucleotide ribosomal RNA is filed under the name uncultured bacterium. Its description in RNAcentral is "partial 16S ribosomal RNA". It matches the Rfam family "Bacterial small subunit ribosomal RNA", at positions 524 to 776 of the family's 1533-position model. The record is from RNAcentral.